UUCGGAAUCACUGGGCUUAAAGGGCGCGUAGGCGGUCUGCCAUGUCCGGGGUGAAAGCCUCCAGCUUAACUGGAGAAGUGCCUUGGAUACUGGCGGACUCGAGCGAGGCAGGGGUCGUGGGAACUUCCGGUGGAGCGGUGAAAUGCGUUGAUAUCGGAAGGAACGCCGGUGGCGAAAGCGCACGACUGGUCCUCUUCUGACGCUGAGGCGCGAAAGCCAGGGGAGCAAACGGG
This 233-nucleotide ribosomal RNA is filed under the name uncultured bacterium. Its description in RNAcentral is "partial 16S ribosomal RNA". It matches the Rfam family "Bacterial small subunit ribosomal RNA", at positions 544 to 776 of the family's 1533-position model. The record is from RNAcentral.